RNAcentral lists this ribosomal RNA (586 nucleotides) under uncultured bacterium. Its description in RNAcentral is "partial 16S ribosomal RNA". It matches the Rfam family "Bacterial small subunit ribosomal RNA", at positions 355 to 1375 of the family's 1533-position model. The record is from RNAcentral.
UGGGGAAUUUUGGACAAUGGGGGAAACCCUGAUCCAGCCAUCCCGCGUGUGCGAUGAAGGCCUUCGGGUUGUAAAGCACUUUUGGCAGGAAAGAAACGUCGCGGGUUAAUACCCCGCGAAACUGACGGUACCUGCAGAAUAAGCACCGGCUAACUACGUGCCGGCAGCCGCGGUAAUACGUAGGGUGCAAGCGUUAAUCGGAAUUACUGGGCGUAAAGCGUGCGCAGGCGGUUCGGAAAGAAAGAUGUGAAAUCCCAGAGCUUAACUUUGGAACUGCAUUUUUAACUACCGGGCUAGAGUGUGUCAGAGGGAGGUGGAAUUCCGCGUGUAGCAGUGAAAUGCGUAGAUAUGCGGAGGAACACCGAUGGCGAAGGCAGCCUCCUGGGAUAACACUGACGCUCAUGCACGAAAGCGUGGGGAGCAAACAGGAUUAGAUACCCUGGUAGUCCACGCCCUAAACGAUGCCAACUAGCUGUUGGGGCCUUCGGGCCUUGGUAGCGCAGCUAACGCGUGAAGUUGACCGCCUGGGGAGUACGGUCGCAAGAUUAAAACUCAAAGGGAAUUGACGGGGUCAUAGCUGUUUCCU